CAGUCGCCGCGGUAAUACGUAGGGUGCGAGCGUUAAUCGGAAUUACUGGGCGUAAAGCGUGCGCAGGCGGUUGUGUAAGACAGGUGUGAAAUCCCCGGGCUUAACCUGGGAACUGCGCUUGUGACUGCACAGCUAGAGUAUGGCAGAGGGGGGUGGAAUUCCACGUGUAGCAGUGAAAUGCGUAGAGAUGUGGAGGAACACCGAUGGCGAAGGCAGCCCCCUGGGCCAAUACUGACGCUCAUGCACGAAAGCGUGGGGUGCAAACAGGAUUAGAUACCCCGUAGUCCCUGUCUCUUAUACA
This 301-nucleotide ribosomal RNA is filed under the name uncultured bacterium. RNAcentral describes it as "partial 16S ribosomal RNA". It matches the Rfam family "Bacterial small subunit ribosomal RNA", at positions 509 to 808 of the family's 1533-position model. The record is from RNAcentral.